AAAAAAGGAAAAAGAAAAGCACAGUAUGAUGUUGAGAGAAAUGGUGUUUAGUGUGGUUAGAUUGUUAGAUCAGAAAGGGCAAUGGAAAGUGUUAUUAGAGAGAUGUAGAAUUGUAUGUAUGAUUCAUUCACCAACCUUUUUUCUGGUAUCAUAGUAUGGAGUUGGAGCUUUGGGUUUGUGGGUUGGGGAGAAGCAAUAGUUUGGCUUAAGCAAGGUACCACUACAGAAGGCCAUGACUAUUGAGAACAGUGAGAGAGAGAAAGAGAAGGGAAUCGUAAAAGGUGUUGGAAGUAGGAAGAAAACUGAGAGCAGAUUCUGGACCAAAGCUUUCUUAGCGGUGGUGUUGCAUUAAACAGAAUUGUUGAAGUAGCUUUUAUAGGGACAAUGCAAGGAAGCACCUUUGGAGGCAAUGCAAGGAAGAAGGCUUGGUGAAUGUUUGCCAAGGUGAAGUUUUGUAGAUGAAAAAAAAGAAAAGAAGCAUAGGAACAAAGACGGUCAGAGGUACCACUGUAUUAUAUAGUGUAAACUUAAUACAUUUGUAUUAUAAUUAUAGAUGAUGAAAUGUUGUUAACUUUUUUUUUAAGUAGUUAUUUCAAAAAUUCAUAUGGAGGAUUUGNCUAUAGUGUAAAUUAUAUAUGUCUUAAUUUUGAAUUUUUUAUUAUUAUAAAAUAAUUCACNGUUUUCAGAAUUUUAAAAUGUAAUUAAUGUUUUCACUCUCUAUAAUAUAUCUUUAUUUCAUGUAUGUUAGUGGUGUAGGCACAAAGAAUCAAUCACUAGUACAAAAAUCAUAUUUUAUGACGUACAAAAACGAACUAUGACGUUUGUACGUUAGAAUAGGUCUACAUAUUUUAUGACGUAACAAAAAUUUAGGUUAUCUAAACAUAUUAUGACAGUUUUUGUACAUAUUUUAUGACGUAACAAAAAUUUAGGUUAUCUAAACAUAUUAUGAUAGUUUUUGUACAUAUUUUAUGACGUAACAAAAAUUUAAGUUAUCUGAACAUAUUAUGACAGUUUUUGUACACAUAUUAUAACGUACAAAACUAUGUACGUCAUAGUUCGUUUUUGUACGUCAUAAAAUAUGAUUUUUGUACNUCAUACUUCANGAAGGAUGAAACACCUCCACNGAAUACUUCACGAAGGAUGAAACACCUCCUCCGAAUACUUCACGAAGGAUGAUCCUCUUCCACACACCUCCUUAGACGCACCAAGGAUGAACCAGUUAUUCCUCCGU
This 1231-nucleotide long non-coding RNA is filed under the name Vigna radiata. RNAcentral describes it as "long non-coding RNA (VRAD_LNC014215)". The record is from RNAcentral. Lineage: Eukaryota; Viridiplantae; Streptophyta; Magnoliopsida; Fabales; Fabaceae.